RNAcentral lists this unclassified non-coding RNA (1908 nucleotides) under Homarus americanus (American lobster). RNAcentral's name for it is "dNA polymerase lambda-like, transcript variant X2". Lineage: Eukaryota; Metazoa; Arthropoda; Malacostraca; Decapoda; Nephropidae. The record is from RNAcentral.
GCCCAGCACUUGCCAACAGUGCGUAACGGAGACGUGACCGAUCGCCCAAGCGGCUAAAGAGCCGAUCAGUGGUGAAGAGGAUAAAAGUAAAAAAAAAUAAGUUAAAGUAUGAAACGAAAGCUCAAUCAGUCACUGAUGUCAAAGAAGAAAGGUAAAGUUAUUCCCGGUGAUGACACGACCAGCGGCGGUCCUGGUCAUGACUUUCUCUCAGGAGUAACUUGUCACAUUCAUCCAGCAAACUUUGGUAGAAAACGACUGAACAUUUUUCAAAGUCAAGUACAAAAUUAUGGAGGUAAUAUGAUUCAAACACUGCCAUUGUCUUCUGAGACCAUUUCAUAUAUUAUAUUUGAAGAAUCAGUAGAUGUUGUAAAGCUGAAGCAGUUUUUUAACCCGUCCGCGUAUUGUAACACGCGUUUUGUUCGGUGUACUUGGCUGGUGGAGUGUGUGAAGAAGAAAACGAAAGUUGACAGCAAAGAUCAUGAAAUUAUAUCGGUUGUGGAUCCAACUGAUAAACAUAAGAACAAAGAAUACAGUGUUAGUGAGGGUGAAGCAAAGCAGCCAUCACCUGAGCACCACCACCCAAGCAACAAGGAUGGACUCUUGGUGACUCAGUUAGGGGAACAGGAAAACCCCAUCACCAAAAUUCAUACAACAGACAUUUCAACAAAGGAAUUCUCACCAGAUAAUUUUUCUCCACAUUCUGCAAGUGUCAAGGAAAUAGAGAAUAAUAUUAUUGUCCCAUGUGACUCUCAGCUGACUCAACAAUGUUUUAAUGAGGAACAGAAGACACUCUUACACUCAGGGGAAGUGAAGACCGAGGAAGAAAAUAGAAUAAUUAACAGGUUAGAGGCGCUAAAUGAAAUCCAAACAGAACAUGAUGCAUCCCAAGAAACUGUUGUAUCUUUGGUAAAACCAUUUCCAAAGGCUCUAAAGGACAAAUUUGCCUGUGCUCGACCAUCAAGCAGUAAGGUGAGAGAUAUGAACCAUCACAUCACGGCCGAGCUAGACAAGUUGGCAGCAGCGUACAAGAGCAAGAAGGACACAUGGAGAGCACUUGGGUACCAGAAGGCCAUAUCUGCCAUCCGUCACCACCCCAGGGAGAUAACGUCAAGAGAAGAAGCUCUCAGUAUCCCCGGGGUGGGAGAGCGUCUAGCUGACAAGGUGGCUGAGAUUGUCGAGAGUGGGAAGCUGAGGAAAGUGUCGGAGGUGUGCGAGGGGGAAGAAGCCAACACCUUAAAGCUCUUCACCGGUGUGUGGGGAGCUGGACCCACCACAGCCCAGAGUUGGUACACACAGGGGUUCAGGACUCUACAAGACUUACAACUUAAGGCCACACUUACCCGCCACCAGCAGAUUGGCCUCAAACACUAUGAUGACAUCAACACUCGUAUACCUCGAGAGGAAGUGGCUGAAAUUGAAGACUACGUUCGGUACGCUGCUCUAAGCCUCAAGAAAGGUCUGAUUGUUAUGGUGUGUGGGUCAUAUCGUCGUGGCAAACUCAACUGUGGAGACGUAGAUGUUCUUAUCACACACCCAGACGGGCACUCACACCAACACCUAUUUAAGCCUCUUCUCAGCUGCCUCAAAGAAACAGGGUUUAUAACUGAUGACCUUGUAACUCAGGAAGACAAUGGAAACCAACUAAAGUAUCUUGGUGUGUGCAGGUUACCGGGGGAAGGUCGAAAGACGUCUGGAUGUUAUCAUAGUGCCAUAUGCAGAGUUUGCUCCAGCCACCAUGUACUUCACAGGAUCUGCACAUUUUAAUAGGUCAAUGAGGCUUCUGGCAAUCAAGAUGGGGAUGAGUCUCUCUGAACAUGGCCUUCGUGCAGGGAUCGUGAGACAGGGUCGGGAGAAGCUGACUGAUGGACAUCUCCUGGAGACUCCCACUGAACAAUCCAUCUUUGAGCA